GCUGGGUUUGGUGGCACAUGCCUGUAAUCCCAGCAGUUUGGGAGGCUGAGACAGGAGGAUCAGGAGUUCAAAGCCAGCCUCAGCAACAGGGAGGCGUUCAGCAACUCGGGGAGACCCUGUUUCUA
RNAcentral lists this small RNA (125 nucleotides) under Marmota monax (woodchuck). The record is from RNAcentral. Lineage: Eukaryota; Metazoa; Chordata; Mammalia; Rodentia; Sciuridae.